GGUUGAUCCAAUGCUUUAAGAACAGAUCAUAUAUAGCCCAACUGCUCAAUCUUUAUUUUAUUCUCACUGUUCUUUAUUCUAUAAACAAGUUAGAAAUAGUCAAAAUAAAAAUAAAAAUGUGAAUUCAUUAGCUGGGUUGUUUUUCCCUGACAAAUUCUACAUUUUCUUUUGGCAUAAAAUGCAACUUGGAAACUUUAAAACUUGUAUUUGGCACACCAGAAGAAGUAUACCAUCUUCCAUUUGCCAUUGAGAUUUGUUCAAGAAAAAACCUGAACUUUGAGAUUACCAAUCUAUUCUAAAAUAUUCCCUGGAAGCAUAGUAACUUGUAAAAUUAAUUAAACAGCAACUAAAUAGCACUAAUAUUAAAAAAUUCAUCUAAAAAUAUUUCAUGGUGAGAGAUAAGGAAAAAAGAC
Molecule: unclassified non-coding RNA, 413 nt
Filed under: Hevea brasiliensis (rubber tree)
Lineage: Eukaryota; Viridiplantae; Streptophyta; Magnoliopsida; Malpighiales; Euphorbiaceae
Source: RNAcentral